This 492-nucleotide ribosomal RNA is filed under the name uncultured bacterium. Its description in RNAcentral is "partial 16S ribosomal RNA". It matches the Rfam family "Bacterial small subunit ribosomal RNA", at positions 29 to 507 of the family's 1533-position model. The record is from RNAcentral.
AGUGAACGCUGGCGGUAGGCCUAACACAUGCAAGUCGAACGGCAGCACAGUAAGAGCUUGCUCUUACGGGUGGCGAGUGGCGGACGGGUGAGGAAUACAUCGGAAUCUACUUUUUCGUGGGGGAUAACGUAGGGAAACUUACGCUAAUACCGCAUACGACCUACGGGUGAAAGUAGGGGAUCUUCGGACCUUGCGCGAUUGAAUGAGCCGAUGUCGGAUUAGCCAGUUGGCGGGGUAAAGGCCCACCAAGGCGACGAUCCGUAGCUGGUCUGAGAGGAUGAUCAGCCACACUGGAACUGAGACACGGUCCAGACUCCUACGGGAGGCAGCAGUGGGGAAUAUUGGACAAUGGGCGCAAGCCUGAUCCAGCCAUACCGCGUGGGUGAAGAAGGCCUUCGGGUUGUAAAGCCCUUUUGUUGGGAAAGAAAAGCAGCAGGUUAAUACCCCGCUGUUCUGACGGUACCCAAAGAAUAAGCACCGGCUAACUUCGUG